RNAcentral lists this ribosomal RNA (253 nucleotides) under uncultured bacterium. Its description in RNAcentral is "partial 16S ribosomal RNA". It matches the Rfam family "Bacterial small subunit ribosomal RNA", at positions 524 to 776 of the family's 1533-position model. The record is from RNAcentral.
CACGUAGGGCGCAAGCGUUGUCCGGAAUUAUUGGGCGUAAAGAGCUCGUAGGCGGUCUGUUACGUCUGCUGUGAAAACCCGGGGCUUAACCCUGGGCUUGCAGUGGAUACGGGCAGACUAGAGGCAGGUAGGGGAGAAUGGAAUUCCCGGUGUAGCGGUGAAAUGCGCAGAUAUCGGGAGGAACACCGGUGGCGAGGGCGGUUCUCUGGGACGGUACUGACGCUGAGACGCGAAAGCCAGGGGAGCAAACGGG